Non-coding RNA from Cerioporus squamosus, 80 nucleotides. The record is from the annotation of a GenBank genome assembly. Lineage: Eukaryota; Fungi; Basidiomycota; Agaricomycetes; Polyporales; Polyporaceae.
ACGCCGAUGGUGAAGUGGUUAUCAUGCUUGCCUUCCACUUGAGGUAGCAAGCGGCACGGGUUCGAUUCCCGUUCGGCGUA